GCCAAAAUAGCUCAGCUGGGAGAGUAUUAGGUUGAAGAUACAAAGUUCCUUGGCUCAAUCCAGAGUUUGGGGG
Molecule: transfer RNA, 73 nt
Filed under: Homo sapiens (human)
Lineage: Eukaryota; Metazoa; Chordata; Mammalia; Primates; Hominidae
Description: tRNA-Phe-GAA-12-1
Source: RNAcentral